ACUACGGGUGGCAGCAGUAGGGAAUCUUUCACAAUGGGCGAAAGCCUGAUGGAGCAACGCCGCGUGCAGGAUGAAGGCCUUCGGGUUGUAAACUGCUUUUAUAAGCGAGAAAUAUGAUGGUAACUUAUGAAUAAGGAUCGGCUAACUACGUGCCAGCAGCCGCGGUCAUACGUAGGAUCCGAGCAUUAUCCGGAGUGACUGGGUGUAAAGAGUUGCGUAGGUGGCAUAAUAAGUAGAUAGUGAAAUCCGGUGGCUCAACCAUUCAGACUAUUAGCUAAACUGUUAAGCUCGAGACCGUUAGGGGUAACUGGAAUUUCUAGUGUAGGAGUGAAAUCCGUAGAUAUUAGAAAGAACACCAAUAGCGUAGGCAGGUUACUGGGACGGUUCUGACACUAAGGCAUGAAAGCGUAGGUAGCAAACGGGAUUAGAUACCCCGGUAGUC
Molecule: ribosomal RNA, 442 nt
Filed under: uncultured bacterium
Lineage: Bacteria
Description: partial 16S ribosomal RNA
Rfam family: Bacterial small subunit ribosomal RNA
Source: RNAcentral